This 1183-nucleotide long non-coding RNA is filed under the name Elaeis guineensis (African oil palm). RNAcentral's name for it is "long non-coding RNA (EGUI_LNC012126)". Lineage: Eukaryota; Viridiplantae; Streptophyta; Magnoliopsida; Arecales; Arecaceae. The record is from RNAcentral.
UAUUUUCUUUUACUUAUUUUGGGUCUCCUAUUAGAUAGGGCUCAACCAAAUCGAAGUAAGUUCUAAUUGGGCACCAAGAUUUGGUGCACCCAGGCGUUAUUAACCACCUAAUCAGAUUAGGUUGAAGCAUUUGGUGCCCCGCAUGGUUUCUUCGCCAUGAUGAGAGGGCGCACGCCCAUAUGGAUAAGAUCCAUGUGUAUGUCACCCACUUGGAGAUAAGCAAGGGAGAGGGAAGGGGAUAAACCCCAUCCUCUUGCUGAUAAGGAUCAGAAGGAGAAUGUUAUAUCUAAAUUCAAAUUUAGAUUUAAAUUCAGAUUCAAAUUUGAAGUGUUUAAAUUCGAAUCGAGGGAGGAUUGGUUUAGGCAACAACCACCUUAUCCAAGUUCACGCCAAUCUGAUUUUUCUUUCACUUUUGUACGACAAAAUGAAGGAGAAAUUAGAUGGGGCGGUGCCUUAGUAGAGUCUUUCUACUUUAAGGCAUUUGAUCCGAUCAAAUGUCUAUAAAAGGGCUAUUGUCAAACAGUUUGACGAGAUGAAUGAUCAGAAGAAAAAUCUUAGAUCCCUCCUCUCAUAUCCAUGCCUCCUUUCCCUCUUCUCUCUGAUCUCUCCUUCUCUCCCAUGUCCAAAGGUGUUGGACGGCCCAUCUGGUGGUCUCGAGGCAUCGAGUUCCAUUCGAUUUACGUGAAGGAACAAGAAGACUGUGAUGAAGCAUUAAUCGGAACCCUGUCGGAGAUUAGUUCCAAGCCUGAUCCAAGAGUUUGCAAAUCCAUCUAGGAGUAGGUGGAUUGAAGAUGAAAAAGGUAUCCUAGUCUGAGCCUGAGUGGAUAUCUAUAGAUACUAGACACGUACGUAGCUCAACAGCAAACCUCACAACUCCACGAUCAUCGGGCUACGGAGUUCAUUUAUCGACGCAAGGUGAUGUGAUUAUCUUAUAAUCUAAUUUAAAUUGUUUAAAUUUCUAUUUUUUUCUUAAUCUAGAUGCAUGAUCGAUUUGACUAUGAUCGAAAUCAGAUCUUGAUCAAAUCGCACGUCAAAUUGAAAAGUUUUUGAAUUUCGCUGCACCCUGAUCUGAUCGAUUGGGCGUGCGAUCAUUCCUUCAGUUGGUAUCAGAGCCAGAUUUCGGAGAUCAUGCAUUUAAGAUUAAGAUUGGAUCUAAAUCAGAUUAGAUUGGAGUUGUGUUUAG